UAAAGUUGUUGCAGUUAAAAAGCUCGUAGUUGAAUUUCGGGGUCUAUCCGUUGGUCGGGCUUUUGGGUCCGUACUGGCGUUAUGGAUUCCUACCUUCUGAAUAACCGGCAUGCCAUUAAUUUGGUGCGCUGGGGAAGCAGGACUGUUACCUUGAAAAAAUUAGAGUGCUUAAAGCAGGCUAUUGCCUGAAUACAUUAGCAUGGAAUAAUGAAAUAGGACGGCAUGGUUCUAUUUUGUUGGUUUCUAGGAUCACCGUAAUGAUUAAUAGGG
Molecule: ribosomal RNA, 270 nt
Filed under: uncultured Acaulospora
Lineage: Eukaryota; Fungi; Glomeromycota; Glomeromycetes; Diversisporales; Acaulosporaceae
Description: partial small subunit ribosomal RNA
Rfam family: Eukaryotic small subunit ribosomal RNA
Source: RNAcentral